ACAGUGGACGCGAGCAUCUGUGGCCAAGUUUUUAAGGGCGCACGGUGGAUGCCUUGGCACCAGGAACCGAUGAAGGACGUGGGAGGCCACGAUAGUCCCCGGGGAGUCGUCAACCAGACUUUGAUCCGGGGGUUUCCGAAUGGGGAAACCCGGCAGUCGUCAUGGGCUGUCACCCGCUGCUGAACACAUAGGCAGUGUGGAGGGAACGCGGGGAAGUGAAACAUCUCAGUACCCGCAGGAAGAGAAAACAACCGUGAUUCCGGGAGUAGUGGCGAGCGAAACCGGAUGAGGCCAAACCGUAUACGUGUGAGACCCGGCAGGGGUUGCGUGUGCGGGGUUGUGGGAUCUCUCUUCCACGGUCUGCCGGCCGUGGGACGAGUCAGAAACCGUUGAUGUAGGCGAAGGACAUGCGAAAGGUCCGGCGUAGAGGGUAAGACCCCCGUAGUCGAAACAUCAGCGGCUCGUUUGAGAGACACCCAAGUAGCACGGGGCCCGAGAAAUCCCGUGUGAAUCUGGCGGGACCACCCGCUAAGCCUAAAUAUUCCCUGGUGACCGAUAGCGGAUAGUACCGUGAGGGAAUGGUGAAAAGUACCGCGGGAGCGGAGUGAAAUAGUACCUGAAACCGUGUGCCUACAAGCCGUGGGAGCGUCGGACAUCAAGCUUGCUUGGUGUCUCGUGACUGCGUGCCUUUUGAAGAAUGAGCCUGCGAGUUUGCGGUGUGUUGCGAGGUUAACCCGGGUGGGGAAGCCGUAGCGAAAGCGAGUCCGAACAGGGCGGUUCAGUAGCACGCUCAAGACCCGAAGCGGAGUGAUCUAGCCAUGGGCAGGUUGAAGCGGCUGUAAGAGGUCGUGGAGGACCGAACCCACCAGGGUUGAAAACCUGGGGGAUGACCUGUGGUUAGGGGUGAAAGGCCAAUCAAACUCCGUGAUAGCUGGUUCUCCCCGAAAUGCAUUUAGGUGCAGCGUCGUGUGUUUCUUGCCGGAGGUAGAGCACUGGAUAGGCGAUGGGCCCUACCGGGUUACUGACCUUAGCCAAACUCCGAAUGCCGGUAAGUGAGAGCGCGGCAGUGAGACUGUGGGGGAUAAGCUCCAUGGUCGAGAGGGAAACAGCCCAGAGCAUCGACUAAGGCCCCUAAGCGUACGCUAAGUGGGAAAGGAUGUGGAGUCGCACAGACAACCAGGAGGUUGGCUUAGAAGCAGCCACCCUUGAAAGAGUGCGUAAUAGCUCACUGGUCUAGUGAUUCCGCGCCGACAAUGUAGCGGGGCUCAAGCGUACCGCCGAAGUCGUGUCAUUGCAGCAAUACGGCCAACGCCGGCUGUGAUGGGUAGGGGAGCGUCGUGUGCCGGGUGAAGCAGCCGCGGAAGCGAGUUGUGGACGGUUCACGAGUGAGAAUGCAGGCAUGAGUAGCGAUACAAACGUGAGAAACGUUUGCGCCGAUUGACUAAGGGUUCCUGGGUCAAGCUGAUCUGCCCAGGGUAAGUCGGGACCUAAGGCGAGGCCGACAGGCGUAGUCGAUGGAUAACCGGUUGAUAUUCCGGUACCCGCUGUGAAGCGUCAAACAUCGAGCAUCGUGAUGCUAAGGCCGUGAAGCCGUUCCGGACCCUUCGGGGAAAGGAAAGUGGUGGAGCCGCCGGACCAAGCGGUUAGUAGGUGAGUGAUGGGGUGACGCAGGAAGGUAGUCCAUCCCGGGCGGUGGUUGUCCCGGGGUAAGGGUGUAGGCCGUGCGGUAGGUAAAUCCGUCGCACAUGUGGCUGAGACCUGAUGCCGAGCCGAUUGUGGUGAAGUGGAUGAUCCUAUGCUGUCGAGAAAAGCCUCUAGCGAGUUUCAUGGCGGCCCGUACCCUAAACCGACUCAGGUGGUCAGGUAGAGAAUACCGAGGCGUUCGGGUGAACUAUGGUUAAGGAACUCGGCAAAAUGCCCCCGUAACUUCGGGAGAAGGGGGGCCAUUCCUGGUGAUGAGAUUUUCUCUCUGAGCUGGGGGUGGCCGCAGAGACCAGCGAGAAGCGACUGUUUACUAAAAACACAGGUCCGUGCGAAGCCGUAAGGCGAUGUAUACGGACUGACGCCUGCCCGGUGCUGGAACGUUAAGGGGACCGGUUAGCUCCAUUUCGGUGGGGCGAAGCUGAGAACUUAAGCGCCAGUAAACGGCGGUGGUAACUAUAACCAUCCUAAGGUAGCGAAAUUCCUUGUCGGGUAAGUUCCGACCUGCACGAAUGGCGUAACGACUUCUCGACUGUCUCAACCAUAGGCCCGGUGAAAUUGCACUACGAGUAAAGAUGCUCGUUUCGCGCAGCAGGACGGAAAGACCCCGGGACCUUUACUACAGUUUGAUAUUGGUGUUCGGUUCGGCUUGUGUAGGAUAGCUGGGAGACUGUGAACUCUGGACGCCAGUUCAGGGGGAGUCGUCGUUGAAAUACCAGUCUGGUCGUGCUGGAUGUCUAACCUGGGUCCGUGAUCCGGAUCAGGGACAGUGUCUGAUGGGUAGUUUAACUGGGGCGGUUGCCUCCUAAAGAGUAACGGAGGCGCCCAAAGGUUCCCUCAGCCUGGUUGGCAAUCAGGUGUUGAGUGUAAGUGCACAAGGGAGCUUGACUGUGAGACCGACGGGUCGAGCAGGGACGAAAGUCGGGACUAGUGAUCCGGCGGUGGCUUGUGGAAGCGCCGUCGCUCAACGGAUAAAAGGUACCCCGGGGAUAACAGGCUGAUCUUCCCCAAGAGUCCAUAUCGACGGGAUGGUUUGGCACCUCGAUGUCGGCUCGUCGCAUCCUGGGGCUGGAGUCGGUCCCAAGGGUUGGGCUGUUCGCCCAUUAAAGCGGUACGCGAGCUGGGUUUAGAACGUCGUGAGACAGUUCGGUCCCUAUCCGCUGUGCGCGUAGGAGUCUUGAGAAGGGCUGUCCCUAGUACGAGAGGACCGGGACGGACGAACCUCUGGUGUGCCAGUUGUCCUGCCAAGGGCAUGGCUGGUUGGCUACGUUCGGGAGGGAUAACCGCUGAAAGCAUCUAAGCGGGAAGCCUGCUUCGAGAUGAGGACUCCCACCCCCUUGAGGGGUUAAGGCUCCCAGUAGACGACUGGGUUGAUAGGCCGGAUCUGGAAGCACCGCAAGGUGUGGAGGUGACCGGUACUAAUAGGCCGAGGGCUUGUCCUCAGUUG
Molecule: ribosomal RNA, 3148 nt
Filed under: Streptomyces pactum
Lineage: Bacteria; Bacillati; Actinomycetota; Actinomycetes; Kitasatosporales; Streptomycetaceae
Description: bacterial LSU rRNA
Rfam family: Bacterial large subunit ribosomal RNA
Source: RNAcentral